AUAUCUAGACAUGGAUACUGCUCUUCAUGGUUUGAAAACGAGCAACUCUACAUUCAAAUGGAGCUCUGUGAUUAUAGUUUAUCCAUUGGCAGGUAUUCUCACCCAUUCUCUGAGGUAAAUGCACUGAGAGCCUCUGUAUCAGGCUAUGUUGGAUCCCGAACCGACACGACGUCCUUCGGCAAGGGAAAUUCUUGAGACUCCCAUAUUAGAUAAGGUCAGAAAUCAUACCAAAUCUUAGGACAAUGUCAACCAUGGUAUCAUCUUAUUGUGUUCUCUUUUUCUCAGAUGUGCUUUGUUUGUGCAAUCCCUUGAUAUCAGCCUGCUAUUUUGUUA
Molecule: long non-coding RNA, 333 nt
Organism: Cucurbita moschata (crookneck pumpkin)
Lineage: Eukaryota; Viridiplantae; Streptophyta; Magnoliopsida; Cucurbitales; Cucurbitaceae
Exons: 2
Source: RefSeq, a predicted model, not a curated record